Molecule: non-coding RNA, 61 nt
Filed under: unclassified sequences
Description: L31-Gammaproteobacteria ribosomal protein leader
Rfam family: L31-Gammaproteobacteria ribosomal protein leader
Source: RNAcentral
CGUAUGGUGCUUUGCAGCAAUAAAUAGCUGACUAAGUGGCGAUGCGGCCUUAAACAGAGGU